Molecule: ribosomal RNA, 253 nt
Filed under: uncultured bacterium
Lineage: Bacteria
Description: partial 16S ribosomal RNA
Rfam family: Bacterial small subunit ribosomal RNA
Source: RNAcentral
UACAGAGGUCUCAAGCGUUGUUCGGAUUCAUUGGGCGUAAAGGGUGCGUAGGCGGCGCGGUAAGUCGGGUGUGAAAUCUUGGAGCUUAACUACGAAACUGCAUUCGAUACUGCCGUGCUUGAGGACUGGAGAGGAGACUGGAAUUUACGGUGUAGCGGUGAAAUGCGUAGAUAUCGUAAGGAAGACCAGUGGCGAAGGCGGGUCUCUGGACAGUUCCUGACGCUGAGGCACGAAGGCCAGGGGAGCAAACGGG